Nematostella vectensis (starlet sea anemone) is the source of this 3303-nucleotide RNA transcript. It is a transcript of the gene named ATP-binding cassette sub-family C member 4-like, with no coding region annotated. Lineage: Eukaryota; Metazoa; Cnidaria; Anthozoa; Actiniaria; Edwardsiidae. The transcript has 8 exons. The record is from RefSeq and is a predicted model, not a curated record.
CUUUUUUGCGCUAGCCGGGACGAGGCUAUUUUGACGGUUGACCAAUUCAUUGUUGGCAAAGCUCUGCGACGGAGAAGACGGAUAUUCGGCCAUAUUUCUCCGCAACAUAUACUCGUAAGGCCCUAAUAUUUGGGCUACCUGAACUCCAACUAUCUGUAAGGAUGUCACCAUGAUUUGAGCGCGAUUAAGCGGGAGAAAGUGUGGAUUUAUGGACGAAACGUGAGAUGCUGCUGCAGAGUAUUAGCAACAUCUCUGAUGUCACGACCGGUCACGUGACGAAUCUCUUAGCCACGGACGUACAGUCGUUCUGUUAUGGAAUAACCGUUAUACCGGGUCUUUUGAUGGCCCCAAUCAUUAUCGCAACGACGGCGACGGUCAUGGUGUGGCUGGCAGGCUGGCCUGCGUUGGUUGGUCUGGCAAUGUCCGUGGGGUACAUAGCCAUACAGAGCGUUGUCGUCCAGCUGUGCGAGUACUACCGUGAGGAGACAGUGGAAGUUACCGACCAGCGUGUUACCCUCGUCUGUCAGAUCAUCUCGGGGAUCCGCGCUAUUAUAAGGAACGCAUGGGAAACGCCCUACUACGCGGCCCUCGAUACGAAAAGUGUACCUCGUCACCCAUUGAUUGUAGUCCUGUCUUCCCUGUGUCGCGAUGCCUGUGAUGCGAGCUGUGGAUCCUACGUCCACCUGAAGCCAUUCGCCGCGGCGGUUACGUUUAGCGGACCAAGCGCCAGUGCGUCGCCCUCGGCGGACGGAGUGGAGUCUAGCGUUAGAGGCGCCGUGAUUUCGAUCCCAGACGGACGAUGCCGAGAACGCGCGGUCAGGUAUACGACCGUCCUGUACCCCAAGGGGAAGCUUUCGGAUAUCUGCAAAAUAACCAGGCGAAAAUCUCCGCUCGCUCGAAACACGCAAGCCUCUUGGAGGGAAAUGGAUACUCACUUGCGGAUCGUCCGUACAACUCGACUCUCAUAGAGAUAUGCGAACGCCACAAGACCGGGUGGAAGCGCACGCUGACCGCUCUGAUCGCUGGUCGGAGAAUUUAACAGACGGAAUCAAACAGCUAUGAUGGAUAGAUAGGUGACACUGACCUUGACUCGGCCUCGUAAUAAGAUCCAAGCAUGCGUGAUACAAAGACCGCGUGACAAAAUCAGCACGUUUGUGACACCGACUCGCAUAAAGAGAUUCAAGAGUGAUUGAUAUACUGAUUGCGUGACAAGAUUCAAUAGUGAGUGACAUAGUGAUUACGUGACAAGAUUCAAACGUGGAUUGACAGAGAUAAGCGUACCAGAUGGUCGUCGCCCAUAGAGCUCAAUCCUCAUGGAGAUGUGUUUGUACCAGGUUCGAGGUACGAUACGCACGAAUCUCGCGCUGAUUGCUGGCUUAAGCUUUCGAAUGACGACUGUGUUUCUGUCACUGUUUCCGAUAAAGAUCUGAAACAAACAAAGAUCGAUCGCCAUUUUAACUAAAAUAGAAUAAAAUUAAAGAACUCAUGAGCUCACAAAAGAACGUGCGAGGAAAUACAAUGGAUACCAAAUCAAUUGGAGUUUCCAGUUGCACAGUAUGAUAUUAACAUUCUCUCAAAAUAACGUUAAGUUACUCUAAAGGCAUACAAGGGACGCUUUGAGCUUGAUAAAAAUAAGUGUACUUACCCUUGGUCUUCCACGCACGCGGUAUUUGCGGAAUCGUCUACCAUCGUUACUGUACAGCACAUAGUACGUCUUGACCCAUUGCCUCAAGUCUUGUCUUCCUUGGGUCAAGAUCUUGGUCACAACAGUGCGUCGACCCAGGUCUACUUGAAGCCAUUGUCUGUGGUUGUUCCGUUUAGCACUCCAGGCUCCACGCUUGGACCCUUGCUUGACGGUGUUCAGUCGCGCGCGGUCGGUUCCGUGGUUGCGGUCGAAGGAGGAUGAAGCUGUGAUGGCGCGGCGUGGGAUCUUACGGUCUUCAAUGCCUAAAGGUACGGAGUUCCGUGCUGAAAAAAAAAAGCAAUGGAUAUGUACAUUUAACAUCAAAACUGAUCAUCAAGAUCGAAGAAUCGUCUACAGUAGAAGAAUGAUCGAAGAUCAAGCAAGAUCAGACCACUGCAGAUUUAAUCGGAUCAUGAGAAAUCAAAGUCCUCUGGAGUCAUUCUCUAAAGAAAAUAACAAAUCAAGUGAUAACAGUUAUUAAAAGGCCCUUCUAUGGAAUCAAGGUUUCCUCCAUUUCAAUGACUUACAUGCUCUGACCACGUAAAGCUCGAGUCGCAAGGAGAUGUGGCGAUGCCAGGUCCUGGGGUAAACUCGCACGUAGCGCGCGGUGAACGGUGGGUUGAAUGCGUUGACCUUCAAGGAGUGUCGGUCCCGAUUGCCUCGGAAAACCUACACAAGUAAACAAUAGCUCAGUGAGAGAAGCUUGAAAGAAAUCGCUAUGUACCUUAAAUGAAUCGCACAUUCGUUAAAGGGAGCGCGCAUCAUCAUCCUAUCGCAUCAGAGCCAAUCAUAAUGCGCCUACGAUCGCAUCAUAGCCAAUGUGAAUUCUAUCGCAUUAUAGCCAAUCAUAAUGCGCGUACUAUCGCAUCGUAGCCAAUCAUAAUGCACGUCGUAUAGCAUCAGAGCCAAUCAUAAUGCGCGUACUAUCGCAUCCUGAGCCAAUCAUAGCACACGUCCGAUCACCUAAAAGCCAAUCAUACCGCACAUACUAUCGGCGCACUUACCACAGUUCUGCUCUUUGUCUUGAACCAAGUCCAGUGGCGCUUGUUCUGACUGUACCUGACCUUAAAACUCGUCACCCACUGAUUCGCGUCGUGUCGUCCUUGAGUCACGAUCUUGUAGAUCUUUUUGUACCCUCUCAGGUCUACUUGGAUCCACUGUCGGCGAUUAUUUAUCCGAGAGGACCAGGCGCCCACGUAUCUUCCCUUCUUCUUGCGGUGAAGGCGAGCAAGCCACGCGGCGUGGAACCUGUCCCAUUCACUGGACGCUGUGAUGUACUUGUUAGGCAGGCGACCGUUAGAGAUUCCAGAUGGCUGAGGCCUUGGACGACGAACUAUUAGAAUAGUAUAAUUUUCAAUUCAGUUCAAUGCCUGAAGGCGAGAUGCUCAUACUGCAAUAAGCUAUUUCUUCUAAGGUAUAAAGUUGCAUGGUAAAUCAUUCCACACAAUUUAAAUAUAAGUAGAGAGAGGUCCAUACCGUAUCUACGUCCGUAGAGCUCAACACGCAUUGACAUGUGUCCAUGGUAGGAAAGCGGGUAGAAUCGCACGAAGCGAGCAGCUACAGGUCUUCUUAGACGAUGGAAAACAAUCGAAUUCCUGUUACGGUUACCGCGGAAGGAC